UACAGAGGUCUCAAGCGUUGUUCGGAUUCAUUGGGCGUAAAGGGUGUGUAGGUGGCGCGCUAAGUCGGGUGUGAAAUUUCGGAGCUUAACUCCGAAACUGCAUUCGAUACUGGCGUGCUUGAGGACUGGAGAGGAGACUGGAAUUCAUGGUGUAGCAGUGAAAUGCGUAGAGAUCAUGAGGAAGACCAGUGGCGAAGGCGGGUCUCUGGACAGUUCCUGACACUGAGGCACGAAAGCUAGGGGAGCAAACAGG
Molecule: ribosomal RNA, 253 nt
Filed under: uncultured bacterium
Lineage: Bacteria
Description: partial 16S ribosomal RNA
Rfam family: Bacterial small subunit ribosomal RNA
Source: RNAcentral